This 603-nucleotide ribosomal RNA is filed under the name fungal endophyte sp. CEY 18. Its description in RNAcentral is "eukaryotic LSU rRNA". The stretch from base 166 to 319 matches the Rfam family "5.8S ribosomal RNA". Lineage: Eukaryota; Fungi. The record is from RNAcentral.
UUUAGGNCAUUAGUGAAUAUAGGACGUCCAACUUAACUUGGAGUCCGAACUCUCACUUUCUAACCCUGUGCACUUGUUUGGGAUAGUAACUCUCGCAAGAGAGCGAACUCCUAUUCACUUAUAAACACAAAGUCUAUGAAUGUAUUAAAUUUUAUAACAAAAUAAAACUUUCAACAACGGAUCUCUUGGCUCUCGCAUCGAUGAAGAACGCAGCGAAAUGCGAUAAGUAAUGUGAAUUGCAGAAUUCAGUGAAUCAUCGAAUCUUUGAACGCACCUUGCGCUCCAUGGUAUUCCGUGGAGCAUGCCUGUUUGAGUGUCAUGAAUACUUCAACCCUCCUCUUUCUUAAUGAUUGAAGAGGUGUUUGGUUUCUGAGCGCUGCUGGCUUUACGGUCUAGCUCGUUCGUAAUGCAUUAGCAUCCGCAAUCGAACUUCGGAUUGACUUGCCGUAAUAGACUAUUCGCUGAGGAAUUCUAGUCUUCGGACUAGAGCCGGGUUGGGUUAAAGGAAGCUUCUAAUCAGAAUGUCUACAUUUUAAAGAUUAGAUCUCAAAUCAAGUAAGGACUACCCCCUGAACUUAAGCCAUAUCAAUUAAGCNGNGGGAA